RNAcentral lists this ribosomal RNA (95 nucleotides) under uncultured bacterium. RNAcentral's name for it is "partial 16S ribosomal RNA". It matches the Rfam family "Bacterial small subunit ribosomal RNA", at positions 1386 to 1482 of the family's 1533-position model. The record is from RNAcentral.
CACACCGCCCGUCACACCAUGGGAGUCAGUUGCUCUAGAAGUCGGUGCGCCAACCUCGGAGGCAACCGCCUAAAGAGUGACUGGUGACUGGGGUG